Xenopus laevis (African clawed frog) is the source of this 1867-nucleotide long non-coding RNA. RefSeq lists it as uncharacterized. The transcript is spliced from 4 exons. NCBI's taxonomy places the organism in Eukaryota, Metazoa, Chordata, Amphibia, Anura, Pipidae. The record is from RefSeq and is a predicted model, not a curated record.
AAAAACUUUCCUUCUGACUUUGCACAACUCGAGUUCCACCUGCACCCCCCUUCCCUGCAGACCGAACUUGUAACUGCCUCUGCACAACAAGUUCCCCCAGCACGUCACUCGCACCCCCCAAACUUGUUGCAUUAGCCAAUUUGCCUCUGCACAUUAAUAUCUUUAUGUAUUUAGAUAUAGAAUUUGUGUGAAAUAUAUUAUCCUUUAUUAAAGUAGGGUUGGAUCUGUCCAUUGGGUGUCUAGAGUGUGUAUAUUCUGGGACUUAGUUUGUAUUAAAGAAGUGACUCAUUCUAAGCCACUUUUCAAUUGCCCUUCUUUUUUUCUUUUUUAUAGUUUUUGAAUUAUUUGCUUUCUUCUUCUGAAUCUUUCCAGCUUUCAAAUGGGGGUCACGAGGGCCAGAACUAGGUGUAGGCAGAAGAGGCACCUACCUAGAGCACAUAAAUACGGGGGAGCUGAGCAGUCUUAAAGGUUUCUUCAGGUAAAGAACCCCUGGAGCCAUUUACAAUGGAAAGGAAGAUUCUGUGUGAAAGAUGAAAGAAGCUGGACUCCAGAAAUCCUAAACGUUGAUACCAGGACAGCACAGAUAAUUGACAAUGGUAAUAUAGGCAGGGCCGAGCCAAGCCAGCCAGCCCCCUCGCACCCCCUACACACAUGUACAACCACAGGCACGCGCACGCACAAGAGCACAUUGCCGGCAAGAGAGGACAAGGGUCAUGACUAGGGGUAUUUUCUGGAUAACAUGGGAAGAUCUACGAGUGAGAUCUACUUGAGUGGAAACCAAAGUCUUUUGAAGAAUCCACCUGCAUACACAGUUGUUCAGAAGCACGUUAUAACCUCCAGAAAAUCGAAAUCCUUCCCAGCCUGUCGCCAUUUCCCAUUAUAAAGAGGCUAUUACCCAGCAUUCUAUGAGGUGUGUUAUGGUGUCACUUGGGACUGGCUAACUGCAUGGCCAGUUAAUGUUAUUCUGUGUAGUGAAGACACAUUACAGCAUAUGCAGACAGAUACAAUAAAUUCAUGAUUGCAUAGAUAUUUCCUUUAAGCACAAUUCCUUGGGAAAAUAUGAAGGGACAGCAGCAGAAUGUCAGGAGCGCCCGUCUCCAGGGGCAUCGCAUCCAAGAUGGUGGUGCCCAUGACCCACGUGGGACAACCAUGGGGCUCGUAUAGGUAAUGGGGAAUGGGCUGGGUUUGUGUUAAUCAGGUGCUUGUUUCAGUGUAACAAGCUUGUUUGUCGAUCAGUGGCAAGUUUUAUUUAGCAUUUGUUAGAAAUUUGCACCCCCGAGCAGCCAACUAAGUAGUAUGGGCCUCUUUUUGGCAGUACCCUUUACUUGAAAAAUUCUUUGGCCUCAAUUACAAAAAGGGGGUCAACUUGUGUAAUUACUCACAGUCAGCUGCAGUUUGAGGCAAAUGUUGUCAGUGUAGUGGUUCCCGGAUACUCUGUCCUAGGCAUCCAAGUAUUGUAUCGAUAAGUCAAAGCGGUUAGGAAUCAUACACUGGGGCAGAAAUUGUCUGCUAUUGUGCUUUUAUUUUUGUCCACACAACAUGUUUCAGGCUGCAAAGGCCCUUUCUCAAGUGUGUUCUUAUUAUUGCACUAAUCAAGAUCAAAAGAAAAGCACUAACUUUACCAGUCUUAAAUCCCACCUAAAAAGCCUACCUCGAUCCCCAUUUCUGGAAUAUAAUCGUGUUCAUGCAUUAACUCACUUUAUUUGAAUGGCACGGUGCAUUUGUAAAACAGAGUGAGAAAGUGGGAAAACUAGCAGCCAAAGGAAUAUGCGCAGACUAUAUCAAGCUAAGUUUCUGUGGAGCGUCGUCAUCUGAUUGUGGUGCCAUCUCAUUUGUGCUAAAUCAGUACAGGUAUGGGACCCGUUAU